Ictidomys tridecemlineatus (thirteen-lined ground squirrel) is the source of this 72-nucleotide non-coding RNA. The record is from Rfam. NCBI's taxonomy places the organism in Eukaryota, Metazoa, Chordata, Mammalia, Rodentia, Sciuridae.
UGGGGUGUGGCUCAGUGGUAGAGCGCUCAUUUCGCAUGUGUAGGGCACUGGGUUCAAUUCUCAGCAUCACAU